Molecule: long non-coding RNA, 260 nt
Filed under: Lupinus angustifolius (narrow-leaved blue lupine)
Lineage: Eukaryota; Viridiplantae; Streptophyta; Magnoliopsida; Fabales; Fabaceae
Description: long non-coding RNA (LANG_LNC002524)
Source: RNAcentral
CGUCUAUGAGAUGAUGUUCCACAUCCAGGUGUCUUUCUCCUUCGAGGUGGUUGGACUCUUAGUUGUUAUUGUUGUUGUUGCGAUUGAUUUUGUCUUCCACCUCUAACCAGUUGUGGCUGCUCCUCAUCUUUGUCUUCACUAUCGUCAUCAUCGUCAUCGUCAUCGUUUGUUUGUGAAGGCAUUGUCGGCUGAUAAUAUUGUUGAGAGUUGAAUGCCGAGAAUGGAGUAUUUGAAGUAGUGUCAAACAUUGAUGACAUUCC